RNAcentral lists this transfer RNA (87 nucleotides) under bacterium. RNAcentral's name for it is "tRNA-Leu". It matches the Rfam family "tRNA". From Rfam's summary of the family: Transfer RNA (tRNA) molecules are approximately 80 nucleotides in length. Their secondary structure includes four short double-helical elements and three loops (D, anti-codon, and T loops). The record is from RNAcentral. RNAcentral also lists the same sequence under 1 other name.
GCCCAGGUGGCGGAAUUUGGUAGACGCAAUAGAUUCAGAAUCUAUCGGUUUAAAACCAUGCCGGUUCAAAUCCGGUCCUGGGCACCA